RNAcentral lists this ribosomal RNA (694 nucleotides) under uncultured bacterium. Its description in RNAcentral is "bacterial SSU rRNA". It matches the Rfam family "Bacterial small subunit ribosomal RNA", at positions 32 to 715 of the family's 1533-position model. The record is from RNAcentral.
AACGCUAGCUACAGGCUUAACACAUGCAAGUCGAAGGGCAGCAUGGUCUUAGCUUGCUAAGGCCGAUGGCGACCGGCGCACGGGUGAGUAACACGUAUCCAACCUGCCGUCUACUCUUGGACAGCCUUCUGAAAGGAAGAUUAAUACAAGAUGGCAUCAUGAGUUCACAUGUUCACAUGAUUAAAGGUAUUCCGGUAGACGAUGGGGAUGCGUUCCAUUAGAUAGUAGGCGGGGUAACGGCCCACCUAGUCUUCGAUGGAUAGGGGUUCUGAGAGGAAGGUCCCCCACAUUGGAACUGAGACACGGUCCAAACUCCUACGGGAGGCAGCAGUGAGGAAUAUUGGUCAAUGGGCGCAGGCCUGAACCAGCCAAGUAGCGUGAAGGAUGACUGCCCUAUGGGUUGUAAACUUCUUUUAUAAAGGAAUAAAGUCGGGUAUGUAUACCCGUUUGCAUGUACUUUAUGAAUAAGGAUCGGCUAACUCCGUGCCAGCAGCCGCGGUAAUACGGAGGAUCCGAGCGUUAUCCGGAUUUAUUGGGUUUAAAGGGAGCGUAGAUGGAUGUUUAAGUCAGUUGUGAAAGUUUGCGGCUCAACCGUAAAAUUGCAGUUGAUACUGGAUAUCUUGAGUGCAGUUGAGGCAGGCGGAAUUCGUGGUGUAGCGGUGAAAUGCUUAGAUAUCACGAAGAACUCCGAUUG